UUUUUUUUUUUUUGCCAGUGAUUUUUCUUUUUUGGUUUUGCUUUGUAGCUAGGUUAACAUAUAUGUUCCCAAUAUUGGACAGUGUGCACGUUUACUUUCAUGCAAUCAUUUAAUCUAAAUGUCUAAAGCUAAACUAUGUACCCAAGGCGUUACCUUAAAGAGCCAUGCCAGCCUCUAGCCAUUUAAUUAGCAAUUGAGAAAAUGCUAAUGGAGUAAAAGGUCAUUUUGCAGGGACAUCUCCCUAACAGCAUAAAUAAUACAAAAAGAUGCUUAGAGUAUAUUUUUAAUAUUUCAUAGGUUUAGUACUGGAGAUGGUUUGUGCACCUAUUCAUUGAAAUAUUCUACAUCGUAUUAAACUUUUUUAGGCUUAACCAUUUCUUACAAGUACCAAUUUUAUUUAUUUAUAUUUAUUAUUUUGACAAACCAUUUUUCAAGUGUAAAAUUAGUUCAUUUUCCAAUUCUUAAAUGUAAUGUAAUAUAAAAAAAAAACAUGUCCAAGUAGUCAGAGAACUUUCCAAGGCACUGUAGAAUGCAUUACCUACAGUUUAAUUUUUCAUUUUCCUAGGGCCUGCAGAAUAUGAUGUGCAUAGUCCAAACAGUUACAGGCCUCUCACAUAUGAAAGAGACCUAUUCUGAGCCACAAGCUAGUGAUUAAGAAGAACCACUUGUCUAAUUUGAUGCUUAAACUGGCAGAGUAACUUCAUGAAGAAGUUUUUCAUGAACAUAGACUCUAUAAAACUUGAAAAUACACUAAAUCAAUCAAAGGGAAUGUAUAUGACAAUGUAGAGAAUAAAUUGUAUUAUGUAAGCUUUAAAAAUAUUUGCUGUAUAGUGACAUUUCCCUUGUGCCAGAGCGAAAAAAUAUUUGGAGGAUCAAUUUUGCACUCUUGCUUGUCACUUCAUCUGCCGGGAGAUGAACACCAAAAAAAUGGCAACAAUUAGAAUUUCAGGUAAAUACAUUUCCAUUUCUUCCCCACCCUAGACCUCACCAUGCAAGCAGGCAGGCCAUGUAUAGGGACUUAGAAGUAAUUACAAGGACUCCACAAAUCACAGUGCUACUUUGAUGGCAUUGGCAAUAAA
This is a non-coding RNA of Pelobates cultripes (western spadefoot toad), 1079 nucleotides long. The record is from the annotation of a GenBank genome assembly. Lineage: Eukaryota; Metazoa; Chordata; Amphibia; Anura; Pelobatidae.